This 894-nucleotide ribosomal RNA is filed under the name Triticum aestivum (bread wheat). RNAcentral describes it as "partial small subunit ribosomal RNA". The record is from RNAcentral. Lineage: Eukaryota; Viridiplantae; Streptophyta; Magnoliopsida; Poales; Poaceae.
AUGCAGCUGGAUGAGUACGUCAUGUGCAGGAUCUACGUGACGCCGAGGAAGCGGAAAAGGAACGACGAUGAGGCGGGCCCCAGCGGGACGUCGGAAGAAUUUACGUGUCAGGAGCCCGGGCUGGUGGAGACGGCGGGGCCGAAGCUCUCGGAGCGACAGGCGGGCAAGAGGCCCGUCGAGCCGGAGCAGCCUGCCCCGCCCCCGCCGGACCGAUGCUUCGGACCACAAGACGGCAUGCAAGUGCGCCGUUUCGGGACUGCUACUGGGUACCCCCACGGUGGAACCGGGCUGACGAUGAUAUACAACCCCUAUGCAUCAACGUCGCGGCCGCCGGUGGCGUUCACCGGCGAGAUGACCGCGUACGGGGCCGCCGCACCUCCCCAUGGCUAUUUCUCCCAGGCAACGAUGAUGCGACAAAUAGGUGCCACGUCCGCGCAAGCGUUCAGACCACCGCCGGCGACUAUCUCGCGACGUCCGCAGAUGAUGCAGAAGCAGCCGGAGACGGAAGAGAUGCGCCAGAAGCGAGUGUACCAGCAACAUGUGAACGAAAUGGUGAGGUGUGGCAUGAUGCAACAGCUUGGAAAUGCGGCUUACGCUGCGCAGCAACCGCGGCCGAUGGCGUUCAUGAAGAAGGAGCAGCAGCAACCAUACUUUGGCGCUGGAGUGAACAAUCAUCAUGUGGCCCCUCAGUUCCUGCCUUGCAACAAUCAAACUGUCCAAGUUCAGAAUUGGCAGUGCAGUUGGGCGGUCCCAGACUCUGGCACGGCGACGAUGCCGGUGAAAGUCAAGGCGGAGGAGGAUGUAGAGACUGGGGCCGCAAACGAGGGGACCGACGUCAAUGGGGAUUGCAACAGUGAUGGUGAGAAGCCCUUUGGGAAGAGUCAAUUUGGUUGA